This 71-nucleotide transfer RNA is filed under the name Capra hircus (goat). It matches the Rfam family "tRNA". Rfam says of the family: Transfer RNA (tRNA) molecules are approximately 80 nucleotides in length. Their secondary structure includes four short double-helical elements and three loops (D, anti-codon, and T loops). Lineage: Eukaryota; Metazoa; Chordata; Mammalia; Artiodactyla; Bovidae. RNAcentral also lists the same sequence under 1 other name. The record is from Rfam by way of RNAcentral.
UGCCAGGUGGCUCAGUGGUAAAGAAUCUGCCUUCCAAGUAGAAAACCUGGGUUAGAUUCCUGGGUUGGUAA